This is a non-coding RNA of Achaetomium macrosporum, 98 nucleotides long. The record is from the annotation of a GenBank genome assembly. Lineage: Eukaryota; Fungi; Ascomycota; Sordariomycetes; Sordariales; Chaetomiaceae.
GGGCUGUUGGUCUAGUGGUAUGAUUCUCGCUUUGGGUUCCCUGAUUGGAUGAAACACAAUUCUGCGAGAGGUCCCGGGUUCAAUCCCCGGACAGCCCC